Molecule: long non-coding RNA, 314 nt
Organism: Carassius carassius (crucian carp)
Lineage: Eukaryota; Metazoa; Chordata; Actinopteri; Cypriniformes; Cyprinidae
Exons: 4
Source: RefSeq, a predicted model, not a curated record
GGGCACCACCACCUCCCCUCACCCCAUCUGAGGAGCUGGCUCUGUCCCUUAAUAAAGGGCGACCAGUGGUUGCUGGCAUUCCAGGGGGCAGUUCAUCACACAUACUAUGCACCACAAGUGAUGGUGAAAAAAGGGUGACAUAUACUGAUGGACGGAUUGUAUUAUUGGACUCUCCAGAAAGAACACAGUCUGUCACAGUUGAUGAAGAUGAUGAUGACGAUGAAGAGACCACAUCUGCUGUGACAGAAGUGGACAAUGCUGGUAGAUCCACUGAGUACAUACCUAGGGAUUUGCCCGCUGAUGAGGGUCCUUCA